This 450-nucleotide long non-coding RNA is filed under the name Vulpes vulpes (red fox). RNAcentral describes it as "lncRNA (ENSVVUG00000006603.1)". The record is from RNAcentral. Lineage: Eukaryota; Metazoa; Chordata; Mammalia; Carnivora; Canidae.
AUGGUGACCGCGGACCCGCUCAGCGACGCCCACAGUGAGGACCGAGCCCUGCCACAACUGACCGCCGGGCCGUCCGUCUGGCGGUUGCCCUGGAGACAGCGAGACGCCGGAAGACUGACGCAUGAGGCGGGACCAGGCUGGAAGGAGGGUUCCGAUUGGCAGAGCCGCCGCCCCGCCGGCUUUAAACAACCGGUAGGGCCGUGCGCAUUGACCCUGCUCCCAACCUCCGUCCGUGGUGCCCGGGGGUCUGCAGGCCUCGGUCAUCCGGAGGGGCGCCGGGUCUGCUCAGGCGGGGCGCUCCCGGCCUGGCUCCUGAGGCCAGAAGUCCGGGCUCGGAAGAAGAGCCUCGGGAGGAACCAGUUGGAUGUUGGAGGUCAUCCACUCCAAGGGAGAUCCCAGCUGGGAAAAAUCUGUGAUCAACUGGGAUCAAUCACCACAGAUAGAAAAUAA